GCCAGUGUGGCUCAGUGGAUAGAGCGUGGUUCUGCGGCCUAAAGAGUCCCGGGUUUGAUUCCUGGCAAGGGCA
This is a non-coding RNA of Myotis davidii, 73 nucleotides long. Lineage: Eukaryota; Metazoa; Chordata; Mammalia; Chiroptera; Vespertilionidae. The record is from Rfam.